UACGUAGGGUGCGAGCGUUAAUCGGGAAUUACUGGGCGUAAAGCGUGCGCAGGCGGUUGUGCAAGACAGGUGUGAAAUCCCCGGGCUUAACCUGGGAACUGCGCUUGUGACUGCACGACUAGAGUACGGUAGAGGGGGGUGGAAUUCCUGGGUGUAGCAGUGAAAUGCGUAGAUAUCAGGAGGAACAUCGAUGGCGAAGGCAGCCCCCUGGACCUGUACUGACGCUCAUGCACGAAAGCGUGGGGAGCAACAGG
RNAcentral lists this ribosomal RNA (254 nucleotides) under uncultured bacterium. Its description in RNAcentral is "partial 16S ribosomal RNA". It matches the Rfam family "Bacterial small subunit ribosomal RNA", at positions 524 to 775 of the family's 1533-position model. The record is from RNAcentral.